RNAcentral lists this non-coding RNA (32 nucleotides) under Rattus norvegicus (Norway rat). The record is from RNAcentral. Lineage: Eukaryota; Metazoa; Chordata; Mammalia; Rodentia; Muridae.
UGCACCUGUACAUUCAAGGGCAGCCUGCUCUU